This 66-nucleotide transfer RNA is filed under the name uncultured Parvicella sp. It matches the Rfam family "tRNA". From Rfam's summary of the family: Transfer RNA (tRNA) molecules are approximately 80 nucleotides in length. Their secondary structure includes four short double-helical elements and three loops (D, anti-codon, and T loops). The record is from RNAcentral. Lineage: Bacteria; Pseudomonadati; Bacteroidota; Flavobacteriia; Flavobacteriales; Parvicellaceae.
GCCUUAGCUCAGUUGGUAGAGCAACGGACUGAAAAUCCGUGUGUCCCUGGUUCAAAUCCUGGAGGC